Molecule: ribosomal RNA, 730 nt
Filed under: uncultured bacterium
Lineage: Bacteria
Description: bacterial SSU rRNA
Rfam family: Bacterial small subunit ribosomal RNA
Source: RNAcentral
AACAGGAUUAGAUACCCUGGUAGUCCACGCCGUAAACGAUGUCGACUUGGAGGUUGUUCCCUUGAGGAGUGGCUUCCGGAGCUAACGCGUUAAGUCGACCGCCUGGGGAGUACGGCCGCAAGGUUAAAACUCAAAUGAAUUGACGGGGGCCCGCACAAGCGGUGGAGCAUGUGGUUUAAUUCGAUGCAACGCGAAGAACCUUACCUACUCUUGACAUCCACGGAAUUUGGCAGAGAUGCCUUAGUGCCUUCGGGAACCGUGAGACAGGUGCUGCAUGGCUGUCGUCAGCUCGUGUUGUGAAAUGUUGGGUUAAGUCCCGCAACGAGCGCAACCCUUAUCCUUUGUUGCCAGCGAUUCGGUCGGGAACUCAAAGGAGACUGCCGGUGAUAAACUGGAGGAAGGUGGGGAUGACGUCAAGUCAUCAUGGCCCUUACGAGUAGGGCUACACACGUGCUACAAUGGCGUAUACAAAGAGAAGCGAACCUGCGAAGGCAAGCGGACCUCAUAAAGUACGUCGUAGUCCGGAUUGGAGUCUGCAACUCGACUCCGUGAAGUCGGAAUCGCUAGUAAUCGUGGAUCAGAAUGCCUCGGUGAAUACGUUCCCGGGCCUUGUACACACCGCCCGUCACACCAUGGGAGUGGGUUGCAAAAGAAGUAGGUAGCUUAACCUUCGGGAGGGCGCUUACCACUUUGUGAUUCAUGACUGGGGUGAAGUCGUAACAAGGUAACC